UACAGAGGGGGCAAGCGUUGUUCGGAAUUACUGGGCGUAAAGGGCGCGUAGGCGGCCUGUUAAGUCGAACGUGAAAUCCCCGGGCUCAACCCGGGAACUGCGUCCGAUACUGGCAGGCUUGAAUCCGGGAGAGGGAUGCGGAAUUCCAGGUGUAGCGGUGAAAUGCGUAGAUAUCUGGAGGAACACCGGUGGCGAAGGCAGGUUCUUGGACAGAAGGUGACGCUGAGGCGCGAAAGUGUGGGGAGCAAACCGG
Molecule: ribosomal RNA, 253 nt
Filed under: uncultured bacterium
Lineage: Bacteria
Description: partial 16S ribosomal RNA
Rfam family: Bacterial small subunit ribosomal RNA
Source: RNAcentral